RNAcentral lists this ribosomal RNA (506 nucleotides) under uncultured fungus. RNAcentral's name for it is "eukaryotic LSU rRNA". The stretch from base 157 to 310 matches the Rfam family "5.8S ribosomal RNA". Lineage: Eukaryota; Fungi. The record is from RNAcentral.
ACGAGUUGAAAAACUCCAAACCACUGUGAACCUACCCAAGAUAACAUGCUUCGGCGGGCAGCCCCUGGGAGGGCCGUAGCCCUCGCGGGCGCCCGCCGGAGGAACGAAACCAUUCUGUAUUUCAGUACUACUCUGAGUAACCAACAAAUAAGUCAAAACUUUCAGCAACGGAUCUCUUGGUUCUGGCAUCGAUGAAGAACGCAGCGAAAUGCGAUAAGUAAUGUGAAUUGCAGAAUUCAGUGAAUCAUCGAAUCUUUGAACGCACAUUGCGCCCGCUAGUACUCUGGCGGGCAUGCCUGUUCGAGCGUCAUUUCAACCCUCAAGCCCUGCUUGGUGAUGGGGUCCUACGCGCCCCGUAGGCCCUGAAAUACAGUGGCGGCCUCACUACAAACCCGAGCGCAGUAAUUACACCUCGCUCUGGGCGUUGCGGUGGGAGCCUGCCGUGAAACCUCCUAUAUUUUACAAAGGUUGACCUCGGAUCAGGUAGGAAUACCCGCUGAACUUAA